RNAcentral lists this small RNA (188 nucleotides) under Vibrio genomosp. F6 str. FF-238. RNAcentral describes it as "MicX Vibrio cholerae sRNA". It matches the Rfam family "MicX Vibrio cholerae sRNA". The record is from Rfam by way of RNAcentral. Lineage: Bacteria; Pseudomonadati; Pseudomonadota; Gammaproteobacteria; Vibrionales; Vibrionaceae.
AUAAUAAUAGAGCGAUCUUUAGAUCGCUCAUUUAUCGAUACUUCUAUUACACUUUUGGUUUGGCCGCUGAUCAGUAGUAGAAGACGAACACUGGCGUUACGCAUAGCUGGCUGUUAGUGAGGUUCCUUACGCCGUUUACACUAACAGUUUUGUAACUCAAGCCUAAGCAUCUGCUUAGGCUUUUUUGU